This 504-nucleotide ribosomal RNA is filed under the name uncultured bacterium. RNAcentral's name for it is "partial 16S ribosomal RNA". It matches the Rfam family "Bacterial small subunit ribosomal RNA", at positions 30 to 523 of the family's 1533-position model. The record is from RNAcentral.
AUUGAACGCUGGCGGCAGGCCUAACACAUGCAAGUCGAGCGGUAGCACGGAGAGCUUGCUCUCGGGUGACGAGCGGCGGACGGGUGAGUAAUGUCUGGGAAACUGCCCGAUGGAGGGAGAUAACUACUGGAAACGGUAGCUAAUACCGCAUAACGUCGCAAGACCAAAGAGGGGGACCUUCGGGCCUCUGGCCAUCGGAUGUGCCCAGAUGGGAUUAGCUAGUAGGUGGGGUAACGGCUCACUUAGGCGACGAUCCCUAGCUGGUCUGAGAGGAUGACCAGCCACACUGGAACUGAGACACGGUCCAGACUCCUACGGGAGGCAGCAGUGGGGAAUAUUGCACAAUGGGCGCAAGCCUGAUGCAGCCAUGCCGCGUGUAUGAAGAAGGCCUUCGGGUUGUAAAGUACUUUCAGCGGGGAGGAAGGCGAUAAGGUUAAUAACCUUGUCGAUUGACGUUACCCGCAGAAGAAGCACCGGCUAACUCCGUGCCAGCCGCCGCCGUAA